RNAcentral lists this ribosomal RNA (167 nucleotides) under Trechispora sp. RNAcentral's name for it is "partial large subunit ribosomal RNA". It matches the Rfam family "Eukaryotic large subunit ribosomal RNA", at positions 99 to 261 of the family's 3401-position model. The record is from RNAcentral. Lineage: Eukaryota; Fungi; Basidiomycota; Agaricomycetes; Trechisporales; Hydnodontaceae.
CGGGAAAAGCUCAAAUUUGAAAUCUGGCGGCCUCGCCGUCCGAGUUGUAUUCUGGAGAAGCGUUUUCCGUGCCGGACCGUGUACAAGUCCCUUGGAACAGGGCGUCGUAGAGGGUGAGAAUCCCGUCUUUGACACGGACUCCCGGUGCUAUGUGAUGCGCUCUCGAA